This 254-nucleotide ribosomal RNA is filed under the name uncultured bacterium. RNAcentral describes it as "partial 16S ribosomal RNA". It matches the Rfam family "Bacterial small subunit ribosomal RNA", at positions 524 to 776 of the family's 1533-position model. The record is from RNAcentral.
UACGUAGGGUGCGAGCGUUGUCCGGAAUUAUUGGGCGUAAAGAGCUCGUAGGCGGUGUGUCACGUCGGCCGUGAAAACCUGGGGCUUAACUCUGGGCGUGCGGUCGAUACGGGCAUCACUAGAGUUCGGCAGGGGAGACUGGAAUUCCUGGUGUAGCGGUGAAAUGCGCAGAUAUCAGGAGGAACACCAGCGGCGAAGGCGGCGCUCUGGGCCGGAACUGACGCUGAGGAGCGAAAGCGUGGGUAGCAAACAGG